This 253-nucleotide ribosomal RNA is filed under the name uncultured bacterium. Its description in RNAcentral is "partial 16S ribosomal RNA". It matches the Rfam family "Bacterial small subunit ribosomal RNA", at positions 524 to 776 of the family's 1533-position model. The record is from RNAcentral.
UACGUAGGGUGCAGGCGUUAAUCGGAAUUACUGGGCGUAAAGCGUGCGCAGGCGGUUUCUUAAGUCAGGUGUGAAAGCCCCGGGCUCAACCUGGGAAUUGCAUUCGAUACUGGAUAGCUAGAGUUCGGCAGAGGGAAGCGGAAUUUCCGGUGUAGCGGUGAAAUGCGUAGAUAUCGGAAGGAACAUCAGUGGCGAAAGCGGCUUCCUGGACCAGAACUGACGAUCAGGCUCGAAAGCGUGGGGAGCAAACAGG